UACAUGGGGUGCAAACGUUGCUCGGAAUUAUUGGGCGUAAAGCGCCCGUAGGCGGUCCGUUACGUCAGAUGUGAAAGCCCCCGGCUCAACCGGGGAAGUGCAUCUGAAACUGGCGGGCUAGAGUACGAAAGAGGGUCGCGGAAUUCCCGGUGUAGAGGUGAAAUUCGUAGAUAUCAGGAGGAACACCGGCGGCGAAGGCGGCCCCCUGGCCCGCAACUGACGCUCAUGGUCGAAAGCGUGGGGAGCAAACAGG
RNAcentral lists this ribosomal RNA (253 nucleotides) under uncultured bacterium. RNAcentral describes it as "partial 16S ribosomal RNA". It matches the Rfam family "Bacterial small subunit ribosomal RNA", at positions 524 to 776 of the family's 1533-position model. The record is from RNAcentral.